CCUGCCUCCGGUCAGAGGGUGUGUUCAGAUUGUGGCAGGGCCCUACCCGUUCAGCUGUGCUGGGAAACAGACCUGAGAAAUGCAGGGAAAGGAGGCGGUCAGUCUGAGCGAAGCCUAGGUUUGCUGUGCCAGGAAAAAUGGGCAAUAAAUGAAUUAACCUUCAGAAGAGGCACAGAAACCCAGGCACCCAGACAAAGAGGGAAUUGAUUGUCGGGUCAGUCUUUCCACUGGACUAAAUAAGUGACACAGUUAAUGGUCUGCAGAGCACUAGCAUUAUUUCCACUUGGUGUGUGGUGAGGGGGGAGAUGGAAGGGCAGGAUCAGACCUGGGGUAGCACACACUAAGCACAGACCUAUCUUGUAUGUAGUCCAUUUGUGACUGCUUUGUUUGCUGAUUCUACUAAUUAAGACGUUUUGUUUUUGUUUAGCACUUCUAGGAGGUAUCUUUUGCCUAAGUACACAACUUCGUGGUGAGCCAGCCCUCCCUGACCACUUGUCACAUACAGACUCAGCUUUCCUGGAAUGUCAGAUGGCAGCACUCAUACCUCUGUAAAGUCAGGUGGUUGACAUCUUGAGCUGUUCAGAUGUGUCUGCUACCUUUAAACAUGCAAACAGAAAUUCUUCAACAAUUCAAUUGGGAACGGAGCCAAAAAGGAAUGUGACCACUCAUGCUUAAAGUCCAGAGGAACAAAGAAAUGCUGUGAUAGGUUAUCACUGGGCUGGGUUAAUGACUGCAAUGGCCAGAAGACUGCUUGAGCAAAGAUCUGAUGAACACACGGUCUGCAGAAAUGAGACAGACAACACACCUCUUUCAGAGACCUUACAUUUGAACCACAUAAUCUGCUUUGACUUUGCAAGGACUUUUACGAUUGUUGGCCUACAGAAAGUGCUCUACAGUUCUUGGAUCUGCCCCAGUGCAUCAUCAGCACAUCAGCACAGCUUGAGGAAACAGAAGCUUGGGUUUCACUUAGCUUGAAUGCUUACUUCCAUGGUUUCCAAGGAGAGCUAAAGUUCAAAGGGCAGAAGUUAUCUGCUUAUAUAAAUCUUCUAUGAAGUAAAUCACAUCCAUCAAACAGGAGCUCUUCAGACACUGGUACAAAGCUGACAUUUAUUUUGCUAUCACAAGGAUAAUGCUAAUUAACAAGCAGCUAAACCCAUUUGAGAAGAAAAAACAUAGUUCUCUGCCAUAAUGCAGUAGGCUAUUAUCCAAUUAAAAAUGGUCUGAUAAAAACACUUUUUAACAUUUGUUACAUUUUUUGCCUGUUUGUAAUCCAGCCAAAAAAUUCUAUCGUUUUCUGAAUGCAAGCAAGAUGUAACUAACUGUUGCCAUACCAGUAACUAGGAAGAAAAAGAACCUCCUCCACAUGGACUACCCACGCAGAUCUGAUGGGGACAGUUUGUGAAAUGCCUCGGGAAUAAAAUGAUGUGGUGGCUGAUGGUGUGCA
Molecule: long non-coding RNA, 1444 nt
Filed under: Coturnix japonica (Japanese quail)
Lineage: Eukaryota; Metazoa; Chordata; Aves; Galliformes; Phasianidae
Description: lncRNA (ENSCJPG00005004873.1)
Source: RNAcentral